This 370-nucleotide long non-coding RNA is filed under the name Lathyrus oleraceus (garden pea). Its description in RNAcentral is "Pisum sativum (pea) long non-coding RNA (PSAT_LNC028401)". Lineage: Eukaryota; Viridiplantae; Streptophyta; Magnoliopsida; Fabales; Fabaceae. The record is from RNAcentral.
UUUAUUUGAUGCAUUGAUCUUCAUGAUGUCUGAUAUAGCUAAUUACUUGUUGAUUAUAUCUUGAUUCAAAGUCCAAAGGAAAAUAGGUUUCUAUAUGACAUUCUUGUCUGUUGGAUUGCAUCCCAUUCGUCAGAUCUUUUCAACUCUUAACUUUUAAUUUUAUGCUUAGGAUAGCCUCUUCAUCUCCUCCCACUUAUUAAAUUUCAAAAUGUCUCUCCCUUUUCAAAAACUUUCUUUGCUUAUAAUUUCAAACUUAGACCUUAUUUCAAGUAGAAACCUUGCCCUUAUGCCAUUGAAUUUUUGAACAUCUUUUUCUUAAAUCAAACUUGUAAAUAAAUCUAAUUAUAUUGACUUAAAAUUUCAAAAAGAC